GAUGAACGCUGGCGGCGUGCCUAAUACAUGCAAGUCGAGCGAACGGACGCGAAGCUUGCUUCUCUGAUGUUAGCGGCGGACGGGUGAGUAACACGUGGAUAACCUACCUAUAAGACUGGGAUAACUUCGGGAAACCGUAGCUAAUACCGGAUAAUAUUUUGAACCGCAUGGUUCAAAAGUGAAAGACGGUCUUGCUGUCUCUUAUAGAUGGAUCCGCGCUGCAUUAGCUAGUUGGUAAGGUAACGGCUUACCAAGGCAACGAUGCAUAGCCGACCUGCGAGGGGGAUCGGCCACACUGGAACGGAGACGCGGUCCAGACUCCUACGGGAGGCAGCAGUAGGGAAUCUGCCGCAAUGGGCGAAAGCCUGGCGGAGCAGCGCCGCGUGAGUUAUGAAGGUCUUCGGUUCGUAAUACUCUGUUAUUGGGGAAGAACAUAUGUGUAAGUAGCUGUGCACAUCGUGACGGUACCUAAUCAGAAAGCCACGGCUAACUACGUG
RNAcentral lists this ribosomal RNA (497 nucleotides) under uncultured bacterium. RNAcentral's name for it is "partial 16S ribosomal RNA". It matches the Rfam family "Bacterial small subunit ribosomal RNA", at positions 28 to 507 of the family's 1533-position model. The record is from RNAcentral.